UGGAUUAUUGGCAACAUAACUACAACACUGAGCACAGUGUUUAAGUUGCUUAGAGUUAUUCUGUAUGCAUUAAUGGAGAUAAUUCACUGACAAAGGCAGAAGGUAAAUAAAAAGUAUUGAUGAUAAAAGAUGCUCAUAUCUGAUUAUUAUUUUUAAAUUUGCUACAAGUCUACAAUUUUUUCAUGGACCAGACAGCUAUUGAAAGUUCAAGCCAUUAUUAUCCAGCAGAGAUUUAUAGGAUAAAAAUAUUAAUUUUAUUAGUUGUGAGCAGUUUAAUUCCUG
Molecule: non-coding RNA, 282 nt
Organism: Pelobates cultripes (western spadefoot toad)
Lineage: Eukaryota; Metazoa; Chordata; Amphibia; Anura; Pelobatidae
Source: the annotation of a GenBank genome assembly